UGUCUAGGAAUGAAUAUAUAUGUUUUUUUUUAUAUAUGUAUGUGUGUGUGUGUGUGUGUAUAUAUAUGUAUAUAAAAUCUCCCACCAAAUGAAUGGAUCAAUAAA
RNAcentral lists this microRNA precursor (105 nucleotides) under Otolemur garnettii (small-eared galago). RNAcentral's name for it is "miRNA (ENSOGAG00000029361.1)". Lineage: Eukaryota; Metazoa; Chordata; Mammalia; Primates; Galagidae. The record is from RNAcentral.